CCUGGCGACUAUAGCCGUUUGGAACCACCUGAUACCAUCUCGAACUCAGAAGUGAAACAAACUCGCGCCGAUGAUAGUGUGGGG
RNAcentral lists this ribosomal RNA (84 nucleotides) under Legionella septentrionalis. Lineage: Bacteria; Pseudomonadati; Pseudomonadota; Gammaproteobacteria; Legionellales; Legionellaceae. The record is from RNAcentral.